GCUAACUUUCUUCCUCUUAGGUGAACCUGCGGAGGGAUCAUUA
This 43-nucleotide ribosomal RNA is filed under the name Acanthothecis peplophora. RNAcentral describes it as "partial 18S ribosomal RNA". Lineage: Eukaryota; Fungi; Ascomycota; Lecanoromycetes; Ostropales; Graphidaceae. The record is from RNAcentral.